This 309-nucleotide ribosomal RNA is filed under the name Macrognathus aral (one-stripe spinyeel). Its description in RNAcentral is "partial 12S ribosomal RNA". It matches the Rfam family "Bacterial small subunit ribosomal RNA", at positions 950 to 1527 of the family's 1533-position model. The record is from RNAcentral. Lineage: Eukaryota; Metazoa; Chordata; Actinopteri; Synbranchiformes; Mastacembelidae.
AAGGGUUAAACAGUAAGCAUAAUUGGUCCAACCCCAAACGUCAGGUCGAGGUGUAGCGCAUGAGAAGGAAAGAAAUGGGCUACAUUCACUACCUAAGUGAACACGAAUGAUAAAUUGAAACAUUCAUCUGAAGGAGGAUUUAGCAGUAAGUAGAAAAUAGAGCGUUCUGCUGAAACCGGUUCUAAAGCGCGCACACACCGCCCGUCACUCUCCCCAAACCACUACUACCCCAUAACUAAACAUAAAUUAACUACAAGGGGAGGCAAGUCGUAACAUGGUAAGUGUACCGGAAGGUGUACUUGGAAAAAC